Molecule: RNase P RNA, 533 nt
Filed under: Phycisphaeraceae bacterium
Lineage: Bacteria; Pseudomonadati; Planctomycetota; Phycisphaerae; Phycisphaerales; Phycisphaeraceae
Description: RNase P RNA component class A
Rfam family: Bacterial RNase P class A
About the family: Ribonuclease P (RNase P) is a ubiquitous endoribonuclease, found in archaea, bacteria and eukarya as well as chloroplasts and mitochondria. Its best characterised activity is the generation of mature 5'-ends of tRNAs by cleaving the 5'-leader elements of precursor-tRNAs. Cellular RNase Ps are ribonucleoproteins.
Source: RNAcentral
GGCGCGGACAUGCGGCCGCCGUCAUCGGGCAACCGGUGCCGGAGGAAAGUCCGAGCACGACAGGACACGGCGGUGGGUAACGCCCACCCGUCCGCAACCGGUGAAACUGGAACGCGGGCGCGGGAAAGUGCCACAGAGAACAUACCGCCGAUGGCCCAGUAGCAUGGCCUUCCAGGCCAUGAUGAACUGAUUCACGGGCUGGAAGCCCGUGCUACUGGGCUCAGGCAAGGGUGAAAAGGUGGGGUAAGAGCCCACCGCCCGCUUGGUGACAAGCGGGGCACGGAAAACCCCGCCGCGUGCAAGGUCCAGCAGUCGCCGCGCCCCGUGUGUUUGCCGGGGCGACGCCCGGUCCGGGCGGAAGGCGGCGGGUAGACCGCUCGAGCCCCGCGGCAACGCGAGGCCCAGAGAAAUGGCCGCUCAGUCGCGUAGGCCCGCUCUCACCACCUCCAGCCCCCGUCAAUGAGGACCGGGAGGAACGGGAAAGCGGGAACCACGCGGCGAGACAGAACUCGGCUUACACGUCCGCGCCGAUU